AUUGAACGCUGGCGGCAGGCCUAACACAUGCCAGUCGAGCGGAUGAAGGGAGCUUGCUCCUGGAUUCAGCGGCGGACGGGUGAGUAAUGCCUAGGAAUCUGCCUGGUAGUGGGGGAUAACGUCCGGAAACGGGCGCUAAUACCGCAUACGUCCUGAGGGAGAAAGUGGGGGAUCUUCGGACCUCACGCUAUCAGAUGAGCCUAGGUCGGAUUAGCUAGUUGGUGGGGUAAAGGCCUACCAAGGCGACGAUCCGUAACUGGUCCGAGAGGAUGAUCAGUCACACGGGAACUGAACCACGGCCCAGACCCCGAGGGGGGGCGGCAGGGGGGAUUUUUGGAGAAGGGCGAAAGGCCUGACCCGGCCUUGCGGGUUGUGGAAAGAGGGUCUUGGGUUUUUAAAGCAUUUUAGGUUGGGAGGAAGGAAAGUAAGUAAAUCCCUUGUUUUUUUGACGUCCCCAAAAAAAAAGGCCCGGGCUACCUUCGUC
Molecule: ribosomal RNA, 484 nt
Filed under: uncultured bacterium
Lineage: Bacteria
Description: partial 16S ribosomal RNA
Rfam family: Bacterial small subunit ribosomal RNA
Source: RNAcentral